UACGAAGGGGGCUAGCGUUGCUCGGAAUCACUGGGCGUAAAGCGCACGUAGGCGGAUUGUUAAGUCAGGGGUGAAAUCCUGGAGCUCAACUCCAGAACUGCCUUUGAUACUGGCGAUCUCGAGUCCGGGAGAGGCGAGUGGAACUGCGAGUGUAGAGGUGAAAUUCGUAGAUAUUCGCAAGAACACCAGUGGCGAAGGCGGCUCACUGGCCCGGUACUGACGCUGAGGUGCGAAAGCGUGGGGAUCAAACAGG
This 253-nucleotide ribosomal RNA is filed under the name uncultured bacterium. RNAcentral describes it as "partial 16S ribosomal RNA". It matches the Rfam family "Bacterial small subunit ribosomal RNA", at positions 524 to 776 of the family's 1533-position model. The record is from RNAcentral.